CUAUGCGCCUUGCCACGCCCGACUCAAGAAACUCAAAGGGAAUUGACGGGGGCCCGCACAAGCGGUGGAGCAUGUGGUUUAAUUCGAUGAUACGCGAGGAACCUUACCUGGGCUAAAUGGGGAGUGACAGCUGUCGAAAGAUGGUUUUCUUCGGACACUCUUCAAGGUGCUGCAUGGUUGUCGUCAGCUCGUGCCGUGAGGUGUCGGGUUAAGUCCCAUAACGAGCGCAACCCUUACCGUUAGUUACCAUCAGGUUAAGCUGGGGACUCUAGCGGGACUGCCACCGUAAGGUGAGAGGAAGGUGGGGAUGACGUCAAAUCAGCACGGCCCUUAUGUCCAGGGCUACACACGUGCUACAAUGGUCGGUACAAAGGGUUGCCAAGCCGCGAGGUGGAGCUAAUCCCAUAAAACCGAUCGUAGUCCGGAUCGCAGUCUGCAACUCGACUGCGUGAAGUCGGAAUCGCUAGUAAUCGUGAAUCAGAAUGUCACGGUGAAUACGUUCCCGGGCCUU
This 511-nucleotide ribosomal RNA is filed under the name uncultured Sphingobacteriales bacterium. Its description in RNAcentral is "bacterial SSU rRNA". It matches the Rfam family "Bacterial small subunit ribosomal RNA", at positions 903 to 1382 of the family's 1533-position model. Lineage: Bacteria; Pseudomonadati; Bacteroidota; Sphingobacteriia; Sphingobacteriales. The record is from RNAcentral.